CGUAGGGGACUAAGCGUUAUCCGGAUUUACUGGGCGUAAAGCGCAUGUAGGUGGCUUGACAAAUUGGACGUGAAAGCUCCCGGCUUAACUGGGAGAGGUCGUUCAAAACUGGCAAGCUAGAGGAUGGAAGAGGAGAGCGGAAUUCCCGGUGUAGUGGUGGAAUGCGUAGAUAUCGGGAGGAACACCAGUGGCGAAAGCGGCUCUCUGGUUCACCCCUGACACUGAGAUGCGAAAGCGUGGGGAGCGAACGGGAUUAGAUACCCCGGUAGUCCACGCUGUAAACGAUGGAGACUAGGUGUAGGCGGUCAUUAACCCCGUCUGUGCCGAAGCCAACGCGUUAAGUCUCCCGCCUGGGGACUACGGCCGCAAGGUUA
RNAcentral lists this ribosomal RNA (374 nucleotides) under uncultured organism. RNAcentral describes it as "bacterial SSU rRNA". It matches the Rfam family "Bacterial small subunit ribosomal RNA", at positions 526 to 896 of the family's 1533-position model. The record is from RNAcentral.